GGGGGGGGGGGGGGGGGGGGGUGGCGGGGGGGGGUCGAGGGGGAAGCCCUUUCGGGGGCCGGCACGGGCGCAGGGGUGCGUAACGCGUGUGCCCCCUGCCUGUCACCUGGGGCUAGCCUGUAGACAUGUUGAUUAAGACCCCAUAAUCUUCUUCGAUGGCAUAAUUUGAUAAUUAAAACUGCGGUGGUGCAAUAUGGUCAUGCGUCCUCUUAGCUAGUUGGAGUGGUAACGCCACCCCAAGGCUCCGAUAGGUAGGGGUCCGGAGAGGGAGAUCCCCCACAAUGGUACUGAGACAGGGACCAGACUCCUACGGGAGGCAGCAGUGAGGAAUAUUGGUCAAUGGUCGGAAGACUGAACCAGCCAUGCCGAGUGCAGGAAGAAUGCCUUAUGGGUUGUAAACUGAUUUUAUAUGGGAAGAAUAAGGUGUACGUGUACAUUGAUGACGGUACCAUAUGAAUAAGCAUCGGCUAACUCCGUG
This 478-nucleotide ribosomal RNA is filed under the name uncultured bacterium. RNAcentral describes it as "partial 16S ribosomal RNA". It matches the Rfam family "Bacterial small subunit ribosomal RNA", at positions 27 to 507 of the family's 1533-position model. The record is from RNAcentral.